Molecule: microRNA precursor, 77 nt
Filed under: Arabidopsis thaliana (thale cress)
Lineage: Eukaryota; Viridiplantae; Streptophyta; Magnoliopsida; Brassicales; Brassicaceae
Description: MIR2933 microRNA precursor family
Rfam family: MIR2933 microRNA precursor family
Source: Rfam by way of RNAcentral
GAAAUUCGUUGGCGAUUUUGAGUGAAAUCGGAGAGGAAAUUCGCCGGCGAUUUUGAGUGAAAUCGGAGAGGAAAUUC